CUCACGUUCCUAAGCCCCUGCCGCCCAUGCUGGCCUUCCCUGCAACGCUCUGAACCUCUUUCUCGCUCUCUCUCUGCUUUUCCCCCUUCUCAAAUUUCGGCGUCUGUGAUUACGAGCACAUCCUCACCCAUCUCGCUCUCUCUCCCUCCCUCACAACACACGCUUUUUCUCAUGGCCCACAAUUUCAUCCCGCCGUAAAGGCUCUAGCCCAUUGAUCACAACGCAGAUUCAGUCUGUGGGGCCAUUCGAAGCAGCGGAUUUCGUCUCAGCUUGUCCUACGCAGUUCACCUCUGUCAAAAAGACCUAUAAACAGAAACAAAUGCUAAAGUAUAUGAGUCAAAACGUGAACCUGCUCUACGGUUCUCAACACUAGCGGAACAUCUGCACACACACACACACACAGAUGGGACAAUGCAGCGGUGAUUCCGUGUGCUUGGCGGAGGUUCCAGGGCGUGUCUGGACGGGAAGAAGUAACCGCAAUUUUGUGGCAAGUUAGUAUUGGUACUUUCGACUUUUCAACACUAUAUUGCUGGAACAUGGACAGUAAGGAUUUCAUUUUCUGUGUUUUUGUUGUGUUGAGAUGAUUUUUAUGUUUUUAGUUUGUUGUAAUUUGUGAAGAUGGAACGGCACUAUUGCUGAUAAUUUUAUUGGGUUUAAGGAUAGGUCCAUCCUAUUCAUUUAGUGACGAUCUCAUUUGUGUUUUCCUAUGUACCUACGUUGGAAGUAAUUGCGUACUAUAUUAUUCAGAAAAUAGAUAAUAAUGGUUUUGUUUCCAUUAUUUUUUUUGAGCUGCAAAGCUUCUUUUAA
Physcomitrium patens is the source of this 807-nucleotide non-coding RNA. The record is from RefSeq and is a predicted model, not a curated record. Lineage: Eukaryota; Viridiplantae; Streptophyta; Bryopsida; Funariales; Funariaceae.